Small nuclear RNA from Cricetulus griseus (Chinese hamster), 163 nucleotides. Its record names the gene U1. It matches the Rfam family "U1 spliceosomal RNA". Rfam says of the family: U1 is a small nuclear RNA (snRNA) component of the spliceosome (involved in pre-mRNA splicing). Its 5' end forms complementary base pairs with the 5' splice junction, thus defining the 5' donor site of an intron. Lineage: Eukaryota; Metazoa; Chordata; Mammalia; Rodentia; Cricetidae. The record is from Ensembl.
GUACUUCCCUGGCAGGUGAAAUACCAUGAUCAUUGAUGUGGUUUUCCAAAGCCAAUGCUUACAUACUGCACUCUAGAUGUAAUGACCCCGGCAAUCUCCCAAAAUGUGAAAAACUCAACAUCAUAUAAUUUAUGGUAGUAGGGAAUUGUGUUCAUGUUCCCUC